CUAGGUGUGACGAAGAAAAUCAUUCGGAUUCCCAUUGAUUUGUGUUAACAAAUGUGAGAUCUUAAACCAGCUACUUCUGACCUAA
This is a non-coding RNA of Triticum urartu, 85 nucleotides long. NCBI's taxonomy places the organism in Eukaryota, Viridiplantae, Streptophyta, Magnoliopsida, Poales, Poaceae. The record is from Rfam.